GAUGAACGCUGGCGGCGUGCCUAAUACAUGCAAGUCGAGCGAACAGACGAGGAGCUUGCUCCUCUGACGUUAGCGGCGGACGGGUGAGUAACACGUGGAUAACCUACCUAUAAGACUGGGAUAACUUCGGGAAACCGGAGCUAAUACCAGAUAAUAUAUUGAACCGCAUGGUUCAAUAGUGAAAGACGGUUUUGCUGUCACUUAUAGAUGGAUCCGCGCCGCAUUAGCUAGUUGGUAAGGUAACGGCUUACCAAGGCAACGAUGCGUAGCCGACCUGAGAGGGUGAUCGGCCACACUGGAACUGAGACACGGUCCAGACUCCUACGGGAGGCAGCAGUAGGGAAUCUUCCGCAAUGGGCGAAAGCUUGACGGAGCAACGCCGCGUGAGUGAUGAAGGUCUUCGGAUCGUAAAACUCUGUUAUUAGGGAAGAACAAAUGUGUAAGUAACUAUGCACGUCUUGACGGUACCUAAUCAGAAAGCCACGGCUAACUACGUG
Molecule: ribosomal RNA, 497 nt
Filed under: uncultured bacterium
Lineage: Bacteria
Description: partial 16S ribosomal RNA
Rfam family: Bacterial small subunit ribosomal RNA
Source: RNAcentral